UCCUUUCUUUCCUUUUUGGAUUGGCGGCCAAGAAACCAUAGGGUUUCUUACUGCUAGGACAUGGAGAAGACUAGAGAAAGAGGAAAGAAGAGAAAGAAAGGUUAGGGAGAAAAUAAUUUUAUAUUCUUUCGAUUUUUUGAGUUCGAAUACAGUGUAUGUUUAUAUACAGGGUCAAUGUGACCCAACCCAAAAACUCUCCUGGCUAACUCAAUACAAGAUUGUGCUCACACAAGUCCAUGUACACCCAUGGCUUGACUCAAUCUCAUAAUCUUAGACUCAAUCCUAAUCCAAAUAUAAGUUAGCCCCUCA
RNAcentral lists this long non-coding RNA (309 nucleotides) under Elaeis guineensis (African oil palm). RNAcentral describes it as "long non-coding RNA (EGUI_LNC049616)". The record is from RNAcentral. Lineage: Eukaryota; Viridiplantae; Streptophyta; Magnoliopsida; Arecales; Arecaceae.